Molecule: ribosomal RNA, 649 nt
Filed under: uncultured bacterium
Lineage: Bacteria
Description: bacterial SSU rRNA
Rfam family: Bacterial small subunit ribosomal RNA
Source: RNAcentral
GUUUGAUCAUGGCUCAGGAUGAACGCUAGCUACAGGCUUAACACAUGCAAGUCGAGGGGCAGCAUGAACUUAGCUUGCUAAGUUUGAUGGCGACCGGCGCACGGGUGAGUAAUACGUAUCCAACCUGCCGAUGACUCGGGGAUAGCCUUUCGAAAGAAAGAUUAAUACCCGAUGGCAUAGUUCUUCCGCAUGGUGGAACUAUUAAAGAAUUUCGGUCAUCGAUGGGGAUGCGUUCCAUUAGGUUGUUGGCGGGGUAACGGCCCACCAAGCCUUCGAUGGAUAGGGGUUCUGAGAGGAAGGUCCCCCACAUUGGAACUGAGACACGGUCCAAACUCCUACGGGAGGCAGCAGUGAGGAAUAUUGGUCAAUGGACGAGAGUCUGAACCAGCCAAGUAGCGUGAAGGAUGACUGCCCUAUGGGUUGUAAACUUCUUUUAUACGGGAAUAAAGUGAGGCACGUGUGCCUUUUUGUAUGUACCGUAUGAAUAAGGAUCGGCUAACUCCGUGCCAGCGGCCGCGGUAAUACGGAGGAUCCGAGCGUUAUCCGGAUUUAUUGGGUUUAAAGGGAGCGUAGGCGGACGCUUAAGUCAGUUGUGAAAGUUUGCGGCUCAACCGUAAAAUUGCAGUUGAUACUGGGUGUCUGAGUACAG